This is an RNA transcript of Tribolium castaneum (red flour beetle), 823 nucleotides long. RefSeq lists it as hypothetical. NCBI's taxonomy places the organism in Eukaryota, Metazoa, Arthropoda, Insecta, Coleoptera, Tenebrionidae. The record is from RefSeq and is a predicted model, not a curated record. The transcript has 3 exons.
ACAAUAUACGUAAUUAGUGUUUUGACACAAUCGUUCAGUAAACGUGUCAAAACGCUUUUAUCACCAAUCGCCUGAAUCUGUUGAUAUGAUCCGCUGCGAGCCAUGUAAUCUGCAACGCAAUGCAAAUAAUUUUGCAAGUAUAAAUUGCAGAUACAAGUAAAAUGUUGGUUAGUUGGUUAAAAUAGUCCUAAAAUGCUACCUUUGGUGGUAUUGAUUGUCUUCUCAUUUUUAUCAAAAAAUUCAGCAGAGCAGUGGCCGAUAAAUGAUUACAAUUUUGACACUGAUUCUGCCGAGGUGGCAGAUAUAAAUUAUUUAAAUAACAUAAAUAAUUAUGAUAAUAAUAAUUAUGACGAUUAUGAUGUUUGGGAUCAAAUCGAACAUGAUAUACAGCUUUUAGAGGAUACUGAUGAUUCUCUAAAAACUCGUGGAAUACCAACUGGACACACAAGGAGAAAUAAGUUAGGAUGCGUAGAAAAAUGGACAGUACACGAUGUUCCAAAAAUGUCAGAAGAUGAGGAGAUAUAUCCAAAGAGGUACCACAAUAUAACUUGUAAACCCGCCACUGGAUCACACCAGGAGUCAGUCAUGAUGGGUUUUUGUACAGUGGUGUAUAAUCCAACGUGUGAAACAGCCUAUCGUCAAGUUCCUAUUUUUACAAAAAAACAUAACUGUUGGAAACAUACUCGCACCAUUCCAGUGGAACAGGGAUGCAAGUGUCGUCAUCAGUAAACAUCUAAAUGUACAAUAAAGGACUGGAUUUUUCAUAAAUUAUUUUUAACACAUUUUUAUUUGUAUAAGCAAAUAAACUUUACUGCUGAACAAA